RNAcentral lists this ribosomal RNA (468 nucleotides) under uncultured bacterium. Its description in RNAcentral is "partial 16S ribosomal RNA". It matches the Rfam family "Bacterial small subunit ribosomal RNA", at positions 28 to 507 of the family's 1533-position model. The record is from RNAcentral.
GACGAACGCUGGCGGCGUGCUUAACACAUGCAAGUCGAACGGAAAGGCCCUGCUUUUGUGGGGUGCUCGAGUGGCGAACGGGUGAGUAACACGUGAGUAACCUGCCCUUGACUUUGGGAUAACUUCAGGAAACUGGGGCUAAUACCGGAUAGGAGCUCCUGCUGCAUGGUGGGGGUUGGAAAGUUUCGGCGGUUGGGGAUGGACUCGCGGCUUAUCAGCUUGUUGGUGGGGUAGUGGCUUACCAAGGCUUUGACGGGUAGCCGGCCUGGGAGGGUGACCGGCCACAUUGGGACUGAGAUACGGCCCAGACUCCUACGGGAGGCAGCAGUGGGGAAUAUUGCACAAUGGGCGGAAGCCUGAUGCAGCAACGCCGGGUGCGGGAUGACGGCCUUCGGGUUGUAAACCGCUUUCGCCUGUGACGAAGCGUGAGUGACGGUAAUGGGUAAAGAAGCACCGGCUAACUACGUG